Long non-coding RNA from Nematostella vectensis (starlet sea anemone), 293 nucleotides. RefSeq lists it as uncharacterized. The record is from RefSeq and is a predicted model, not a curated record. The transcript has 2 exons. NCBI's taxonomy places the organism in Eukaryota, Metazoa, Cnidaria, Anthozoa, Actiniaria, Edwardsiidae.
UUGUAAAAGUAAGAACGUGUAACUAAUAUUUUUUCUGAUAAGUUACAGGAUUCACAAACUACUGCAGUUAGUGAACAGAUGGUGGAACUACAGAUAGCUCCUUCAUCAGCCUGCAGUAACUGUCAAUCAAAUCAACAGAUAGAUGAGAGAGAACCAUCAACUAGAUCUGAUAGUGAGAUGGCCUCAAGCUCUACAAAGACUGAUGAACAACAAGAGGAAGAUGGCUGGGAGGUUGUUAGGCGAUCAAAAAAGAAGCAUUAAUUCUGAAAAUAAAUUUUACAUUAUGCAUGCCA